ACUGCAGCGCCUCCAUGGGCCCCACAGGGGGCACUUCCGGAGGAUGACAGGGGACAGGAAUGUGAAAUCAUCAGCUUUGCCAAGACAGGCCUCUCCAACGUCAACCAGACUCGUCUUGAUUUUCACUUCUCUGAUACAACUGCUGGUGGCAUGGAGGUCCAGCAGGCCAGCCUCAUGUUCUUUGUGCAGCUUCCUCUCAAUACUACCUGGACUUUGAAAGUGAGGGUCCUUGUGCUAGGCCUACAUGGCACCAAUCUCACCUUGGCUAAUCAGCACUUACUGGAGGUGGAUGCCAGUGGCUGGCACCAGCUCCUCCUUGGGCCUGAAGCUCAGGCUGCCUACAGCCAGGGGCAUCUGACCCUGGAGCUGGUACCUGAAGGCCAGGUAGCCCAGAGCCCAGUCAUCCUGGCUGGGGCUGCCCAUAGGCCUUUUGUAACAGUCCAGGUGAGAGUUGGAGGCAAGCACCGGGUUCGCCGACGAGGCAUCGACUGCCAGGGAGGGUCCAGGAUGUGCUGUCGACAAGAGUUCUUUGUGGACUUCCGUGAGAUUGGCUGGCAUGACUGGAUUAUCCAGCCUGAGGGCUACGCAAUGAACUUCUGCACAGGGCAGUGCCCACUCCAUGUGGCAGGCAUGCCUGGUAUUGCUGCCUCCUUUCAUACCUCAGUGCUCAAUCUGCUCAAGGCCAACACAGCUGCAGGCACCGCUGGAGGGGGCUCAUGCUGUGUGCCCACAGCCCGGCGCCCCCUGUCUCUGCUCUACUAUGACAGGGACAGCAACAUUGUCAAGACCGACAUACCUGACAUGGUGGUAGAUGCCUGUGGGUGCAGUUAGUCUACAUGUGGUCCAGGCACCCCAAGGUGGUCAAACACCCUCACAGAAGUGCCCUUUUUUGAGGGAAUGACACCAUUUUCUGUCCAGAACGUAGAUUCCCUCUUCCUGAGCAAUCUAUAGAAAUGAUCCCACCUUUGACUUGAUGAGAAGUUCAUUUAAGGAGAGUCACUGUACCAUCUUCACAACCACUAGCAUCUCUCCUAGGGCACAGUCCAUCCAGCUAGCUCCACCUACUUGAUCCCCACUCCAGGGACUCAGACCCACCUCUCAUCCUGAGCAGUGCCACCUGGUUCCCAGGCAAAACACCAUUAGUUCACUCUUAAUUGACUCCAUAAUCCACCAUGCCUCCCUGCUUUUUCCACACAAUGGUCCCCACUCUAGGAUGAUUUGACCCAGCUCCUUCCCCUGAUUUUCUGGAUCUCCAGAGAGCCCCUUCCUUGGAUUCACCAAAGAUAGAUCACUGCUCUCCAAAGUGAGGCUUACCCUGCUCUGAGUCAUGAGCCCCUUUCCUUCUUACUUGCCCAGGUGGGCUAAAAAUGCUCUCUUUGCAUACUGUCAUCCACUUUUUGUCCUUCUCUUCCUUGCUCUAUGUCUUUAGGGGCUGAAGCACCUGAGCUACAUCACCUGAGCUCCUCUGCCCUCUAGCUUCCUGCUGAGUUUGACCAAGGGAAGACACAGGUGGGAGACCAAAGGAUAGGAGGAGACAGAGGUCAAGGCAUUUCUUAUUCCUGCUUCCUCUCUGCCUAGGUGCCAUAGUUCUGUGUACCUGUGGCUGUGCUGUGUCCCUAUAGCACCUGUCUGAUUACCUCUUUCAUGGCACCCUCUCUGCCUAGGUUCUGAUAUUAUUGCUUCAACAUCAGGGGGUCCAAAUUACUUUCCACUUUGCCAGUCUCUAGGGGUUUCAACAUCCCUUGUUGGUUUUCUUAACCCUUCCUACACCUCUGUGAAUAAUUUUUUCACUGUGUCCUCUUGAUGAAGCAAACACAGGCAGCUGAGUGGGUCCUCUGUCUAUGGCCAGGACCCUAACUGCCACCCCAGAAGACACAGAGCCUGCCUGCCCUGCCCAUUCUGCUUUCUCUUAACAAGGAUUCCUCAGGACUAGCUCUUGUAUCUGUCUCACACUUCAUGCCUCUUCCUCCCCCAGGCUGCCUCCUCUUCUUUCUUAAGCUCCCCCUUCAUCUUUCCAGAACCAUUUUUGAAGGUCUCAUGGCUAAUAAAGACCUAGAUUUUACCUGCUCCUCUCCUCCCUCUGUACUCACUCCAAAAUAUGAGACAGAUCAAUGCUUAGUCAUUAAGUAAGCCGACAAUCUGUGGGCACACAAGUGGUGGGAAGCAGAGGCAUGCUCAGAGCUGGCUACCAGCACCUCUGACUUGCCUGCCUUUCACCCGCCCCCAGGACUGCAUCCAGGAGUCCUGUCUGGAAGCUGAAACUGGCAAGGGCUGCUUGAGUGGGCCAGGGAGAAGAGGAAACCCUGGGGUGAGGAGAGGGUGGCAUUUGCUCUGAGAGGGAUCUUCUUUAGACCUUUGCCCUUCUUCCACCACCAUCUCCUCCCUUUGGCUGGACAGCCCUGAACGGUGGGUCGAUAUUGUCUGCAGCCCAAGGCUGAGUUUGCGUAAAACCCAUGUGUCCUUUGGUGAACGUGAUGUCUGUGUUUGCUCAGCUUAUAACCCUCUCCUACCAGGGUAAGAGGUCCCUGAUAUAGGAUCCCUAGGAGAGAAAGUCUGAAGGGACCUCCUGAGGGACUGCAAAUCUGAGCUGGGUGGCUUCCUGAGCAACCCAUGGAAGUUAUCCUACCUUUGACUUGAGGAGACCUUCAUCUAAAGAGAAUCUAAAGAGGUCUUCUGUUGUCUCUCCCUCUCCCUUCUGCCAUUGUCGCCCUCCCUCUCCCCCUUCCCCACCCCAUCUAACUUCCUUCCCUGCAACUACAGCUUUAGUCACCAGGGCUAAGACUAGGGAAAGGUGAAGUGAGGCACUCACCUUAGGAGCAAAAUUUUAAGGGGAUGGCAAAAAUAUCAUCAAUCAAGAUGAAUAAGAUUUAAAUGCAGUAUUUUUUAAAAAUCAAAAUGCAGAAAAAUUCACAAUGAACAAAAUAGCAUAUUUUAAAAUAAACAUAGGAUCAGUAUUAUUCCCUUUCUUUUUUGGCUCUGCUUUUUGUAAAAGGGGAAAGAGUGGGUCUGUCUUUUUCCAAAUAUUUUCUUCCAGAGCCUCCUAGCCCCUACCUCUAGACUCCUUCAGGCUUUUCUUAUUUGGGCAAGAUAACUACUCCCGCUUCUUCUACUUCCUUACCUACCCCAAACCUGUUGUUGCUACCCCUCCCCAGCCCCCAACCAGGUUGGUGGUAGGGCAGGCAGGGAGGCAGAUGGCUGGGGUAUUUAUAACCUGGGAGCACUUCUUGGGAAAAGUGACUAAGAUGCUAAGAGCAUAUUUAUAGCCGAGCUCUGACGUAAGUGUCAGUGGGGAGGUAGGGCCAGGCCAGGCACAGCAGCAAGGGGUGGGAAGAGCUGGAAAUUGGGGGCACCCAACCCACAGGGUGGGGAGAGAUGGGGUCAGCGACUCCUGCAGCCACUUCUUGUUGCUUCCCCUGACUCUGUCUCCUGACACCAACAGACUCCUCUACUUCAACCUGCAGCUCCAUGCUCACCUUCCACCUGUCCAUUCCUGGGUCCCACCACCUGUACCACACCCGCCUCUGGCUGCACGUGCUGCCCACCCUUCGUGGCACUCUUUACUUGCGGAUCUCCCGAUGGGGCUCAAAGAGGAGGCGCCCAGGGUCCCGCACCCUCCUGGCUGAACACCAAAUGACUACCCCCGGCUGGCACGCCCUGACUCUGCCCUCUAGUGGCUUGAGGGGUGAGGCGUCUGGUGUCUUGAAACUCCAGCUGGACUGCAGACUCUUAGAAGGCAACAGCACAGUUACUGAACAACCAAGGCAGCUCCUGGACACAGCCAGACACCAGCGGCCCUUCCUGGAGCUUAAGAUCCGGGCCAAGGAGCCUGGAGCAGGCCGGGCCAGGAGGAGGACCCCCACCUGUGAGCCUGGGAACCCCUUAUGUUGUAGGCGAGAUCAUUAUGUAGACUUCCAGGAGCUGGGAUGGCGCGACUGGAUCCUGCAGCCUGAGGGGUACCAGCUGAAUUACUGCAGUGGGCAGUGCCCCCCGCAUUUGGCUGGCAGCCCGGGCAUUGCUGCCUCUUUCCAUUCUGCUGUCUUCAGCCUCCUCAAAGCCAAUAAUCCUUGGCCUGCCAGUACCUCCUGCUGUGUCCCCACUGCCCGAAGGCCUCUCUCUCUCCUCUACCUUGACCAUAAUGGCAAUGUGGUCAAGACAGAUGUGCCUGAUAUGGUGGUGGAGGCCUGUGGCUGCAGCUAGCAAGAGGACCUGGGGAUUUAGAGGGAAGAGAUCAAGUCGAGGGUUCCCAGGCAAAAGGCAUCUGCGGCUGGAGGCAUCAGAUUCCUGAUCCACACACCCACCCAACAGCCACCUGACAAUAUGACUGGGGUGUUCCCAAGGGACACAAAUGGGCACUUUCUUGUUCCAGACACUGGCCUAUUCUAG
Molecule: non-coding RNA, 4383 nt
Organism: Microcebus murinus (gray mouse lemur)
Lineage: Eukaryota; Metazoa; Chordata; Mammalia; Primates; Cheirogaleidae
Source: RefSeq, a predicted model, not a curated record